CGGGACGGGUGAGUAAUGUCUGGGAAACUGCCCGAUGGAGGGGGGUAACUACUGGAAACGGUAGCUAAUACCGCAUAACGUCGCAAGACCAAAGAGGGGGACCUUCGGGCCUCUUGCCAUCGGAUGUGCCCAGAUGGGAUUAGCUAGUAGGUGGGGUAAUGGCUCACCUAGGCGACGAUCCCUAGCUGGUCUGAGAGGAUGACCAGCCACACUGGAACUGAGACACGGUCCAG
Molecule: ribosomal RNA, 233 nt
Filed under: uncultured bacterium
Lineage: Bacteria
Description: partial 16S ribosomal RNA
Rfam family: Bacterial small subunit ribosomal RNA
Source: RNAcentral